Molecule: ribosomal RNA, 279 nt
Filed under: uncultured bacterium
Lineage: Bacteria
Description: partial 16S ribosomal RNA
Rfam family: Bacterial small subunit ribosomal RNA
Source: RNAcentral
UGCCAGCCGCCGCGGUAAUACGAAAGGGGCUAGCGUUGUUCGGAUUUACUGGGCGUAAAGCGCACGUAGGCGGAUUAGUAAGUUAGGGGUGAAAUCCCGGGGCUCAACCCCGGAACUGCCUCUAAUACUGCUAGUCUUGAGUUCGAGAGAGGUGAGUGGAAUUCCGAGUGUAGAGGUGAAAUUCGUAGAUAUUCGGAGGAACACCAGUGGCGAAGGCGGCUCACUGGCUCGAUACUGACGCUGAGGUGCGAAAGCGUGGGGAGCAAACAGGAUUAGAUA